RNAcentral lists this ribosomal RNA (456 nucleotides) under Duvaucelia manicata. Its description in RNAcentral is "Tritonia manicata partial 16S ribosomal RNA". It matches the Rfam family "Archaeal large subunit ribosomal RNA", at positions 1922 to 2665 of the family's 2987-position model. Lineage: Eukaryota; Metazoa; Mollusca; Gastropoda; Nudibranchia; Tritoniidae. The record is from RNAcentral.
GCCAUAAGACUAUAUUUAUGGUUUAAACCUGCCCAAUGUUAUAGAUGAAUGGCCGCGGUACUUUGGCCGUGCUAAGGUAGCGUAAUCAGUUGGCUUUUAAAUGGAGUCAGGAAUGAAUGGACUAACCGGGUUUAGCUGUCUCUGAGCUACUAUAUUGAAUUUACUGUCUAAGUGAAAAAGCUUAGGGUAAGAAAAGGGACGAGAAGACCCUUAGAAUUUUUUCUAAAAAUGGUGUAUUUCUUAAAUUAGGAGAAUUGCUUUUACUGAUUUUGUUGGGGCGACAGAGAAAUAUAUUAAAACUUUCUUUUUAUAAACAUGCCGAUUGUGUUAAGACAGGAUAAAUUACCUGAGGGAUAACAGCAUAAUUCUAUAGAUGAGUUUGUGACCUCGAUGUUGGACUAGGAAACUAGCAAGCUAGGCGUUUGUUGUGUGGGUUCUGUUCGAACUUUAAAUCCU